AUUCUGCCCAUGCGGGGAAGGAUGAGAAGCUUCGACCAAGGUUCGACUCGAGCGCCAGCGAGAGAGCGUUGCCGCAGGCAACGACCCGAAGGGUGAGGAGCGAAGCGACGAAUAAUCCUUCCCCCACCACCA
RNAcentral lists this small RNA (132 nucleotides) under Escherichia coli. RNAcentral describes it as "RtT sRNA". It matches the Rfam family "RtT RNA". Rfam says of the family: This family represents a bacterial cis-regulatory element known as RtT RNA. The exact function of RtT is unknown although it is thought that it may be involved in changing the cellular response in relation to amino acid starvation. The record is from RNAcentral. Lineage: Bacteria; Pseudomonadati; Pseudomonadota; Gammaproteobacteria; Enterobacterales; Enterobacteriaceae.